RNAcentral lists this ribosomal RNA (253 nucleotides) under uncultured bacterium. Its description in RNAcentral is "partial 16S ribosomal RNA". It matches the Rfam family "Bacterial small subunit ribosomal RNA", at positions 524 to 776 of the family's 1533-position model. The record is from RNAcentral.
UACGGAGGGGGCUAGCGUUGUUCGGAAUCACUGGGCUUAAAGGGCGCGUAGGCGGAUUCUCAAGUCCGGGGUGAAAUCCCACGGCUCAACCGUGGAAGUGCCUUUGAUACUGCGGGUCUCGAGGGAGGUAGGGGCGUGCGGAACUUCCGGUGGAGCGGUGAAAUGCGUAGAUAUCGGAAGGAACACCGGUGGCGAAAGCGGCGCGCUGGACCUCUUCUGACGCUGAGGCGCGAAAGCCAGGGGAGCAAACGGG